GACGAACGCUGGCGGCGUGCUUAACACAUGCAAGUCCAACGGUGAAGCGCCUUCCUUUUUGGUGGGUGUGGAUGAGUGGCGAACGGGUGAGUAACACGUGAGUAACCUGCCCCCUUCUUCUGGAUAACCGCAUGAAAGUGUGGCUAAUACGGGAUAUUCUGGGUCUGUCGCAUGAUGGGUCUGGGAAAGAUAUUGUUUCGGUGGGGGAUGGGCUCGCGGCCUAUCAGCUUGUUGGUGGGGUGAUGGCCUACCAAGGCGGUGACGGGUAGCCGGCCUGAGAGGGUGGACGGUCACACUGGGACUGAGACACGGCCCAGACUCCUACGGGAGGCAGCAGUGGGGAAUAUUGCACAAUGGGCGCAAGCCUGAUGCAGCGACGCCGCGUGAGGGAUGGAGGCCUUCGGGUUGUGAACCUCUUUCGCCAGUGAAGCAGGCCUGCCUCGUUUGUGGGUGGGUUGACGGUAGCUGGAUAAGAAGCGCCGGCUAACUACGUG
RNAcentral lists this ribosomal RNA (494 nucleotides) under uncultured bacterium. RNAcentral's name for it is "partial 16S ribosomal RNA". It matches the Rfam family "Bacterial small subunit ribosomal RNA", at positions 28 to 507 of the family's 1533-position model. The record is from RNAcentral.